Molecule: ribosomal RNA, 472 nt
Filed under: uncultured soil bacterium
Lineage: Bacteria
Description: bacterial SSU rRNA
Rfam family: Bacterial small subunit ribosomal RNA
Source: RNAcentral
AGAGUUUGAUCCUGGCUCAGAACGAACGCUGGCGGCAGGCCUAACACAUGCAAGUCGAGCGCACUCGCAAGGGUGAGCGGCGGACGGGUGAGUAACGCGUGGGAACGUGCCCUUUGGUACGGAAUAGCCUCGGGAAACUGGGAGUAAUACCGUAUGUGGUCGAGAGACGAAAGAUUUAUCGCCAAAGGAUCGGCCCGCGUUGGAUUAGGUAGUUGGUGGGGUAAUGGCCUACCAAGCCGACGAUCCAUAGCUGGUUUGAGAGGAUGAUCAGCCACACUGGGACUGAGACACGGCCCAGACUCCUACGGGAGGCAGCAGUGGGGAAUNUUAGACAAUGGGGGCAACCCUGAUNUAGCCAUGCCGCGUGAGUGAUGAAGGCNUUNGGGUUGUAAAGCUCUUUCAGGGGGGAAGAUAAUGACGGCACCCCCAGAAGAAGCCCCGGCUAACUCCGUGCCAGCAGCCGCGGUAAUNC